AACGAACGCUGGCGGCAUGCCUAACACAUGCAAGUCGAACGAGACCUUCGGGUCUAGUGGCGCACGGGUGCGUAACGCGUGGUAACCUGCCCUUAGGUUCGGAAUAACUCCCCGAAAGGGGUGCUAAUACCGGAUAAUGUCUUCGGACCAAAGAUUUAUCGCCUUUGGAUGGGCCCGCGUUGGAUUAGCUAGUUGGUAGGGUAAAAGCCUACCAAGGCGACGAUCCAUAGCUGGUCUGUGAGGAUGAUCAGCCACACUGGGACUGAGACACGGCCCAGACUCCUACGGGAGGCAGCAGUGGGGAAUAUUGGACAAUGGGCGAAAGCCUGAUCCAGCAAUGCCGCGUGAGUGAUGAAGGCCUUAUGGUUGUAAAGCUCUUUUACCCGGGAUGAUAAUGACAGUACCGGGAGAAUAAGCUCCGGCUAACUCCGUG
Molecule: ribosomal RNA, 433 nt
Filed under: uncultured bacterium
Lineage: Bacteria
Description: partial 16S ribosomal RNA
Rfam family: Bacterial small subunit ribosomal RNA
Source: RNAcentral